AGCAUUUAAGGCGUCUUUCCUCCCUCACGUGGGUCGGCAUUGCACAGCAAGCAGCGGCACCAU
Molecule: small nucleolar RNA, 63 nt
Filed under: Trypanosoma cruzi
Lineage: Eukaryota; Euglenozoa; Kinetoplastea; Trypanosomatida; Trypanosomatidae
Description: C/D small nucleolar RNA (snoRNA)
Source: RNAcentral